UUAAAGAUAAUUUAAAUCAAAAUACCGGCUUUGGGAGUGGGAAAUCAGAGUAUUCUGUCUUUAAA
This 65-nucleotide transfer RNA is filed under the name Stylochoplana maculata. Its description in RNAcentral is "tRNA-Pro". Lineage: Eukaryota; Metazoa; Platyhelminthes; Polycladida; Leptoplanidae. The record is from RNAcentral.